Molecule: long non-coding RNA, 1090 nt
Filed under: Anas platyrhynchos (mallard)
Lineage: Eukaryota; Metazoa; Chordata; Aves; Anseriformes; Anatidae
Description: lncRNA (ENSAPLG00020004513.1)
Source: RNAcentral
CCCAAAAUGCCCCCAGACCCCCCCCAAAUUGAACCCCCCAAUUUAUUCCCCCCCCUCCAGCGCUUGCCUCCACCUGGCCGAGAUGCAGCAUCCGGUGCGGAAGGCGCUGGCAGAGUGCGAGCGGCUGCUGCUGGCACGGGGAGUCAAUCUGUGGAGGGGAAAGGGGAGGAUAUUUUUCCUUACUUGCUUACUCUCCCUUUCUCCUUCACCCCCCCUGUAUCCUCCUGGAUCACUCUGCCUUCCUCCUUCACCACUCUCUUAUCCCCUGAGCUUGUCAAAAUAGCUCUCCAAGAUAUUGAAUAUUUCUGGAAUACUCAGAAUACCAUAGUCUUGUUGUUCUGCCUCAUGAAUGCACUUCAGAUUCUGCUUAAAGUUAAACAACUACUUGGGGAGCUCAUCUGGAGAUCUGCCCGGAGGCAGGAUAGUUGUGGGUGGCAGGGAGUAUGGGCGGAUAUGGGCAGGCAUCUAGAGCAGUUGGCACCCCCAGUGUGUUGGAAAUUCACCCCUGAACAAUGGCAAAAUCCUCAAAAACUGGCAGAAUGCUUGAAAAAAAGGUGUCAUGAUUCUGGCAGUUCCAAAGUAACACAAAUCAUUGUAACGUGCUGGGGCCUGGCUCAUGCCUAUCGAGCUGCCAUUGAUACUGCUAUCAACUUAGUGACAGACCCUGCGGCACUCCAAGCCCUGUGACAGAUCCAACGGCCACUGUGACCCCUACGGUGGAUUCUGCAGCCGCUCCAGCCCCAGCUCCUGCAGCCACUCCAGAUCCGGUUCCUGCAGCUGCUCCAGCUCCAGCUCCAGCUCCUGCAGCUGCUCCAGUCCCAGUCCUGCAGUGCUCCAUCCCAGCUCCGCAGCCGCUCAAGCUCCUGCAGCCGCUCCAGCUCCAGCUCCUACUGCUGCUCCAGUCCCAGCUCCUGCAACUGCUCCAGCUCCAGCUCCUGUAGCCGCUACAGCUCCAGUUCCUGCAACUGCUCCAGCUCCUGCAGCCGCUCCAGCUCCUUUGGCCGUGUCAGAGAAACGAGCUGUAGCAGUGCAAGUUGACCCUGCAGAGGGUAUUCCAACCUCUGUGGCAGACCCUGUAACAAGUCAGAGA